GAGGAAAACACAAAAACAUUCAGGUUGACUAGGGUUGCCAUCCAUCCCCUAAAAUACAGAAUUGUCCUUUAUUUGACAAUUAUUUGUUGCGUCCCAUAUUGAAUCAAUAUGGGUUGUAAAUUGUUCCGUAUUUUCAGAAAUGUC
Long non-coding RNA from Thalassophryne amazonica, 144 nucleotides. RefSeq lists it as uncharacterized. The record is from RefSeq and is a predicted model, not a curated record. The transcript has 4 exons. NCBI's taxonomy places the organism in Eukaryota, Metazoa, Chordata, Actinopteri, Batrachoidiformes, Batrachoididae.